Callithrix jacchus (white-tufted-ear marmoset) is the source of this 1605-nucleotide non-coding RNA. NCBI's taxonomy places the organism in Eukaryota, Metazoa, Chordata, Mammalia, Primates, Cebidae. The record is from RefSeq and is a predicted model, not a curated record.
AUGGCCUACUUGAUGGCCACCAGCAUAACCUCAUUCUUCGUGGAUGCAGGCCAAGAACUCAGGACCCUGCUGAAUGCCAUGAAGAAGGCAGCCCUCAUGCAGGACAAGGUCAGGGAGCUUCAGAACCAGGGCAGAGAUGUGGGCCUGGAGGUGCUGGAUAAUGCCUGCUAGCCCUGCGAGGCCCCAUUGCAGCCCAGGUGCUACAGGGUGGCGUGGCAGAUGACCUGAGGAAACUGUCCUUCAUGACCAGUGCUGUGAUGGAGGUGUUUGGUGUGUCUGGUUGCCGCGUGACCUGCUGUGGCUACACAAGAGAUGACAGUGUGGAGAUCUCGGUGCUGGCAGUGGGAGCAGUUCACCUGGCAACAGCUCUUCUGGAAAACCCAGAGGUGAAGUUGGCAGGGUUGGCCGCGAGGGAUAGCCUGCGCCUGGAGGCAGGCCUCUGCCUGUAUGGGAAUGACAUUGAUGAACACACUACACCUGUGGAGGGCAGCCUCAGUUGGACACUGGGGAAGUGCCGUCAAUCUGCUAUGGACUUCCCUGGAGCCAAGGUCACUGUUCCCCAGCUGAAGGGCAAGGUUUAGCGGAAGCGUGUGGGCUUGAUGUGUGAGGGGGCCCUGAGGCGGGCGCACAGUCCCAUCCUGAACAUGGAGGGUACCAUGACUGGUACUGUGACUAGUGGCUGCCCCUCACCCUCUCUGAAGAAGAAUGUGGUGAUGGGUUAUGUGCCCUGCAAGUACAGUCGUCCAGAAACAAAGCUGCUGGUAGAGGUGCAGCAGAAGCAGCAGAUGGCUGUGGUCAGCAAGAUGCUCUUUGUGCCCACGAACUACUAUACCUUCAAAUGAGGAUAGCUCAGGGUGGGGUUGUCCCCUCCAGGAGUCUUGCCUUGGAGGGCAUCCUACAAGGGGUUAGUCAAGAAGCUGAGGCAGAACUCACUAGGGGUGGGCAGCUAAGGUGGAGGCUAAUUUUAAUUGUCUGGUUGAGGGGCCAUACCACCUAUUCUCCCUACCUAACUCUUGCCACUCCAGCUUCCUUCAGGACCCUGCUUCUGAGUGAUGGACCAGCUCACACAAUGUCUUGUUUUAGUCUAUGAUCCCACUGACCCACUCUUGCCUGCUGGAGGGUAAUAAGAAGCUUUGGUUCUGCCAUCUCUCCCGCCCUGCCAGGUGCUGGCUGUGGAGAAAAGGCUCACCUUUGUGGGGAGGAUAAAACCUGCCCGACCUACCUCACCAUGAUUUUUCACAUUGCAAAGGCUAGUAACAUGGGCAGUGUGGACUUAGGCUACCCUCUCCAGUUUGCUUUCCAUAAAUGCAAAUUGUUCCUACUGCCAGUCAGAAAUGAUUGUUGACUCAUAGUAGGGCUGCUAUACCUGUGUAUAAACUUGGGGAUGGCUGAGGGAACACUGAUUUACUCUUCCAUAUUUCCAAGUUGGUCUAGUGUGCUGCCCAGUAGCAAACCAUGGCAGGCUUACCACCUGUUCUGAGCUCUGGGGCUGUUGUAGGGCAGGGUGAGCUUCCUCCUGGACUUGCCUUACCCUGGGCUGACCUUUGCUCCGGUAUCCAUUAAUGGACUCCACUAAAUCCUGAAAGAAAAAUUAAACUUCCUUCU